UGACAUCGGAAUAAGCCCGAGAAAUCGGGUCUAAUACCGAAUAAUCACUCUCGCGGACAUCUGCGAGAAUGCAAAGCUCCGGCGGUCAAGGAUGGGCUCGCGGCCUAUCAGCUAGUUGGUGAGGUAACGGCUCACCAAGGCUUCGACGGGUAGCCGGCCUGAGAGGGCGACCGGCCACACUGGGACUGAGAUACGGCCCAGACUCCUACGGGAGGCAGCAGUGGGGAAUAUUGCACAAUGGGCGAAAGCCUGAUGCAGCAACGCCGCGUGCGGGAUGACGGCCUUCGGGUUGUAAACCGCUUUCAGUACCGACGAAGCGAAAGUGACGGUAGGUGCAGAAGAAGGACCGGCCAACUACGUGCCAGCAGCCGCGGUGAUACGUAGGGUCCGAGCGUUGUCCGGAAUUAUUGGGCGUAAAGGGCUUGUAGGCGGUCCGCUGCGUCGGAAGUGAAAACUCAGGGCUUAACCCUGAGCCUGCUUCCGAUACGGGCGGACUAGAGGAAUGCAGGGGAGAAUGGAAUACCUGGUGGAGCGGUGGAAUGCGCAGAUAUCAGGUGGAACACCAGUGGCGAAGGCGGUUCUCUGGGCAUUUCCUGACGCUGAGAAGCGAAAGCGUGGGGAGCAAACAGGCUUAGAUACCCUGGUAGUCCACGCCGUAAACGGUGGGCACUAGGUGUGGGACUCAUUCCACGAGUUCCGUGCCGUAGCUAACGCAUUAAGUGCCCCGCCUGGGGAGUACGGCCGCAAGGCUAAAACUCAAAGGAAUUGACGGGGGCCCGCACAAGC
RNAcentral lists this ribosomal RNA (786 nucleotides) under Actinomycetes bacterium. RNAcentral's name for it is "bacterial SSU rRNA". It matches the Rfam family "Bacterial small subunit ribosomal RNA", at positions 133 to 930 of the family's 1533-position model. The record is from RNAcentral. Lineage: Bacteria; Bacillati; Actinomycetota; Actinomycetes.